AGAAAUAGGUGUGUCUCCAGGAACUCCAAAGACGACUUCUCAUGCUUUUCAGCCCCAUCUAAAAAUUUCUUCUACUUUCUUCCGGAUUUCUUCUCAGGCAGCCUGCAUCUCUCAGCAUCUAGAGAAAUCCUCUUGGCGACUCAUGGCCACGGACGUCCUCCCGGAGCUGUCUGCCCACAAGCCACUUCAUACCUGAGAAUCAGGCAGUGAGGAAAACGUCUGCUAUUUCCAGGCUUUCAUGUGAGGGCCUGGGAAAAUGCCUGGCACACAGCUGGUACUCACUAACCAUCACCCGAAUGAGUGAUGGGGGAUACAUCUUGCGGCUUAUUUCCUCUACAUUGAAACAUUGCCUGAACAGAGGAGAGGAAUCUCAUACGACUCAAAAAUCUAAUGAGACUUAGGAAGCUCAGGAAGCUAAGAAAGAAGACCCUGGUAAAGGCAGAUGUUUCCCGGUGCCAUGUGAAUAGAAAAAAAAAAUCAACCUGAG
RNAcentral lists this long non-coding RNA (487 nucleotides) under Cricetulus griseus (Chinese hamster). Its description in RNAcentral is "lncRNA (ENSCGRG00015034351.1)". Lineage: Eukaryota; Metazoa; Chordata; Mammalia; Rodentia; Cricetidae. The record is from RNAcentral.